Long non-coding RNA from Anguilla anguilla (European eel), 926 nucleotides. RefSeq lists it as uncharacterized. NCBI's taxonomy places the organism in Eukaryota, Metazoa, Chordata, Actinopteri, Anguilliformes, Anguillidae. The record is from RefSeq and is a predicted model, not a curated record. The transcript is spliced from 4 exons.
UGCAACGUGUAGAGUGCAAAAUAGUCACUGGCUUGCAUGUAAGCGCGUAAGGAUGUGCGUGUGUUUUAGCAGUAGUGCUCCUUACAGAGGGAUGCUGGUGUCACAGCAGGGUACAGGCAGAUGAUAAUUGAGAGAUCACUGAUACAGUGAGAUGCAGACAAGCCCACCCACUUUCGGCACAGUCAUAAUUUGAUACCAGACCACAGAGCACAUCCACAUACUGGAACAGUAUCCUAGCAGGGUAUAUGACAUCAUUAUUUCUGCCGAGAAGCCCACAAAUCAUUGCUUCCACUGACAUGCACUAGGCCCCCUGGGACAGAGAGCAGGUGUGACCUGGAAGUGCAUGCAUGCAGAGUGGGAGGAGCCAGGUGUGCCAUGGUUGCAGAAUAAAGGGGUCCAGCUGCUCUGCAAAGUUUGAUGACCACCUGAAGCUUGAUAGCAGAAACUGUGGUACAUCUUUCAACUGGAGACAUGGCUUCUUCCUGAGAGAGAUCUGGUGACUGCUGAACUCAACAAAUUGUAUAAUCACAGUUUAGAACAAAAUUUGACUGAAUCCCAACCUAUGCAUUCCCUUGCUUUACAUGGGCAACACUUGGCCGAAUUGUACAUUAUGCCAGACAUAAUGAGGAGCUCAGACCUAGUGUUUCACAAGAGGAGCCAUUAAUCACUUCACCUCAGAUUAGACAGGAAACAGUUGCCUCGCUAUUAUGUGGUCCCAGAACUUUCUCUAUCUCAGAGACAACAGCAAAGCAUCCAGGCUCUCGCCUGACAGGAAGUGGGCCUGCAGGGGUAAUCAGUCACCAACGGAUGGCUCCUAGAGCAGUGGGGGACGAAACAAUAAAAUUCAUGGGUCCUCUUGCUCCAAGGAGCCACCAAACUCUGGCCCAGGGACCCCUGGGAGUCCAUGGAAAAGUGCUAGGGACUCC